GAGGGGAGCGGCGCCGUGCCAGCAGCCGCGUGGCCGCCGCAGUGCCGCCUCGGGGCUGUCCGGCGCGCCGUGGGAUUUCUGGGGCGUUUUACCGGUAGAGCUGACGUUUUCCACCCCACGUGCUUGCCUCAGGCUGAAUCUUUCUUUUCUUUUUUUUUCUUUUUUUUUUUUUUUAAUGUAGCCAAGAUGAUUUAGUCAUUUCCAAAAACACUACUGCUUGCCCUUGUCUAAAUAUUCGAGCAGUCUUUCAUUCUGAAGGCUUGAGAUCGGGGUUAGUGGUGGGGAUGUGUUUGUGGCCAUCUCUGUAGAAACUGAGUCUGGUACGAGUCAAAGAACAAGAGCUGGUUACACUCACCUAGGAAGGACAACUUCCACAUUGCUGCCUCCAUAAGAUCCUCCUAUAACGCUCUGAGUUCUAAACCAGCUGGUACUGGUGGGACUGAACACACACAGGACGUGAACCAUCCCUUCAUGCUUGCCAUGUUUGUUAACAUGUUCACAUCACCAUGGGGCUUCUCCCUAUAACUACCACAGUUUUUACAGAGGUUGUAAGAUACAGCCCCUUUUCCCACUGUGAAGCCCUGCCUAGCAGGAGGCAGCCUCUGUUGGUACAGGAUUUUUGGAACUGAGGUAUCAAUGGAUCUCUACUGCCAUAAACACAAGAAGCUGGCAUGCACCAAGAGGGCAGAGGUGCUACACAGCUACAGAACAUGUCCAGGGCAGCCCGUAUACUGCAGCACCUGAGGGAUGCUGUAGGCUUAGCACAGAUUUGUUACAGCACGUGAACUCUGAUGUGGAAAUCUCAGGAAGAAAACAGUGACUUUCACUGCAGGCCUGGUCCAAGCUUGUCUUCUGAAAGCGCUGAACUCUGACUGGAUUGCUGAGAGGCACGGAGAUCACACUGUGGUCGGGGAGAUGCAGCGUGAAAGACAGCAGGCUGACACAAGAUGUCUCAUGGUCAAGGCAGAUCACGGCAAGGGGAAGACAGCCUGUGUCUCAGAGAGUCCCUCUCAGAUGGAGCUGAGAGACCUGCAGGUCUUAGCAGGAGCUUCAGAGGCAGCAAAUGGAAGGAAUGCCCACGUUAGCAAACAUUACACCAGACUGAGAGCACUAUAAAAGGAGGCUCCGCAGGGCCUGCAGAUAGAAAUGUACUCCUGGCUGCAGAGGCACACCAGGUCUUUGCUGGCCACUAGCACAAGGCACAGCACACCCUCAAGGGCCACACGCUUUGGAGGUCAGCCACAGGUGAGCACAUGGCCCUGAGCAUGAACACAAGUAGCACUCCUCAGUGCUUCUCAGAAAGGUGCCAGUAGGGAUCAGCCUGAGCUAAAACAGCUGGCGAUUCCUCUGGAUGGCCUGGAAGGAGCAGCAGGCCCACGCUGCUGGGUGGCACAGGGCACAUGGGGACUCCUGGCAUGAGGCUGGAACUGCCAGUGCAGACAACUCAGAGGAAGCUUUCAGAUGAAUGACUUGGCAUGGGUCACCAUAACCUGUAGUUUGAGGAACAUACAAUUACUGGCAGCUACACCUGCCCAGUUGUGCAGACAAGAUUAAUGAAGGUUGUAUAGAGCUGAUUGAACAGGCAGCAAUCUUAGUACGCUCUUCAGUCUUCUCAAGACUGUGGCCUGGUUCAUGCCUCAGAGAGUUCACAUAGCACAAGAGAGAAAAAUAAAGCACUUGCUCAACCACCACAAAAAUACUGUCCAUGCUGUGAAGUGCUGUGACACACCUUCAGUAUAACUGUGACCCAUUCUGUCCUUUCCUUUUCCAGUAACGGGAGUACUGGCAGAGUUCCAGCUCAGACUAUUGAAAAUGGUCCUGCACUAGAAACCAUGGGUGUAAUGAGGAUGAGCUGUAACCAGCUCCCACAGAAAGGAGAAAUCAUUUCCAUGGCUAGAACAAUGUCUCAGACUGAGGAACCACUAAUGGGAAAUAAAAGAAGAGAGGUGCUGAAGGGGAAGCAAGGUGCCUGUUUUUCUGGUCUGAACUGUGAAAAGGCAAAUACAUUUGCAAAUAAAGCUAGAGGAUGUUGCAUUUUGAAUAUCUGUGUCAUAAAGUACUAAACACUCAAAAUAAUCAUGAGUUGAAGGUGUCUUAAACUGGAUAUGGUAUGGAAGAUUAAUUGA
Numida meleagris (helmeted guineafowl) is the source of this 2126-nucleotide long non-coding RNA. RefSeq lists it as uncharacterized. The record is from RefSeq and is a predicted model, not a curated record. Lineage: Eukaryota; Metazoa; Chordata; Aves; Galliformes; Numididae. The transcript has 3 exons.